Molecule: unclassified non-coding RNA, 793 nt
Filed under: Hevea brasiliensis (rubber tree)
Lineage: Eukaryota; Viridiplantae; Streptophyta; Magnoliopsida; Malpighiales; Euphorbiaceae
Source: RNAcentral
GAGAAUGAAGUUAUUGUUUGAUCCUCCUCAAUCACUCUCUCAAUUUUUGCUUCCCUAUCAUGUAAUAGGAUGGCAGUUUCUCUGCACAUGCUUAAGAUCUGCUUCCCAUCACUUGUUAUUUCUAAAUCAGAUAUCUUCAUAGUCCGUUGCCCUUUCCAACACUCUAGCUCUUUUCCAUUCAAAUCCCACAUGCAGAUACUCUUAUCAUUAAUGCCAGAUAAUAUCCAUUUCCCAUUUGGAAACCAUCCACAGGAAAUGAGGCCAAGACCAGCUUUGUCAUAGACAUGGAGGCAUUCACCAGAAGAAACAUCCCAGCGCCUUAUAGCCUCCUCCAUCCCACAAGUGAGAAGCUGAUGGUCAUCAGGACUCCAGGAAACAGAGGAUACAUGUUUUUGAUGACCACAUAAUCGAUGCUUUAAAGAAACUCCAUUUGUAUCAACCUCCCAUAUGAUUGCUGAUUGAUCACUGGACGAUGAAGCUAAGUAUUUCCCAUUGUGUGAAAAUUGUAAGAACCACACUUCAUCAGAAUGUGCCUCUAAUAUCUGCAAAGUUCGAGAUGGAAUCUGAUCUCUUCCACAGUGAUGAUCUGUAUACAAUGACAUUUCUUUGUCCAUGGAGUUGUGAAAGAUGCAAGCAUCUCGUUGCAAGGUAAGAGCCUGUUCUACUAAAUAUUCCAACCUCCUUUCAGGUAUUAUAACUGUUGGUGGGAGCAAUUUUUGCAAUUCCUCCAGCAGCUUUGACCGAGACUUCAUCCUUGCAUCAUCUUGAUUAGAAGACCCAACUGAAGCACACA